This is a long non-coding RNA of Oncorhynchus nerka (sockeye salmon), 3069 nucleotides long. RefSeq lists it as uncharacterized. The record is from RefSeq and is a predicted model, not a curated record. NCBI's taxonomy places the organism in Eukaryota, Metazoa, Chordata, Actinopteri, Salmoniformes, Salmonidae. The transcript has 5 exons.
UGUAUGAGUGCGGACACAGAUUAUGCAGUAGAGAAUAUGAGGGAUCAGCUCAUCCAGAGUGCAAAGGCCGAACCUCGCCCUGGGUGAACCUCCUUCGUGAUCAAGGUGUCUCCCCUGCCAGAAGCGCUGCUCAGCAUCCUGGAACUUCUUGUCCAGGAUGGACACCAUCUUCCUCACCACCUUCAUGAUCAUGUAGUUGUUCAGGACACUGCUCAGUGCUUGCAAUGAGGUCAGAGACCUUCUGGAGGUAGUCCUUGGCGUAUACCACCACAGGCUCGGAGUCAUUUAGAAGAACAGGAGCAAACACGUCUGUGAGGUAAGGCAUCCAGUCCACCGCAGGAGCCAAUGUCUACCGACACACAGAAACAAUGAUAAUGUCAACAUCUACUCGUGCACAGAUUUGCAUUUCUUUUUUAUAAAUCAGCAGGUAUGAACAGAAAGUAGGAAGAAAGACCUUGGAGAAGGCACUGUUAAACCAAAAAUGCAAUCUAUGCAAAAUACACUUGUUGAUUGAGACAGCCAGUUGUGGAAAAAGUACCCAAUUGUCAUACUCGAGUAAAAGUAAACAUACCUUAAUAGAAAAUGACUCAAGUAAAAGGUCACCCAGUAAAAUACUACUAGAGUAAAAGUAUUUGGUUUUAAAUAUACAUAAGUAUCAAAAGUAAAUUGAAUUGCAAAAAGAUACUUAAGUAUCAAAAGUAAAACACAAUAAUUUGAAAUUGCUUAUAUUAAGCAAACCAGAUGGCACAAUUCUUGUUUUUUACAUUUCUUUAAGGAUAGCCUGGGGAACACUACAACACACAGACAUAAUUUACAAACGAAGCAUGUGUAUUUAGUGAGUCCGCCAGAUCAAAAGGCAGUAGGGAUGACAAGGGAUGUAUUCUUGAUAUGCGUGUGAAUUGCACCAUUUUCCUGUCCUGCUAAGCAUUCAAAAUGUAACAAGUACUUUUGGGUAUAUGGGAAAAUGUAUGGAAUAAAAAGUAUAUUAUUUUACUUAGGAAUAUAGUGAAGUAAAAGUUGUCAAAAAUAUAAAAACAGGAAAGUACAGAUACACAAAAUUACUUAAGUAAAAAAUACUUUAUAGUACUACUUAAGUACUUUACACCACUGGAGAUAGGUCAAUCUGGAAGUCAUCUACUGUAUGUUGAUGUUUGGAUCAUCUGAAGUUGCAGAGAGAUGCAAGUCAUUCUGGGACUGACCGCCAGAUCCUUUGCCUGGAUCUUAUGGUAAAUUAGCUCCUCGUCCCUCCUCUCCUCCUGGGGUACGGUGAUGUUGGCCAGGGUGGUCUCAAAGUCCACAAUUUCCUGCAUCAGCGAUCUGGAUGUGUCCUGUGAGCCACCCAACAGGACCCCUAACUCCACCAGGAAGUCUAGUGCCAACAGAAAAACCGAAGCGUUCUAAUUGAGAUCGAUGUCAAAGUGGACAAUCCGUCCACCUGGCUUCGGUUGGGUUGGUGAGGGGGUGGGACUCCCCAUCCCCUAAGGAGGAAUCUUACCUAGCAGGUGCUUCAUGAUGGCCAUGUUGCGCUCCCAUAGGUUGCUGAAGGGACCCCAUCGGGACUUUCCCUCAGGGAGGGGGUUGUUCCGUACCCAUCCCCCACAGGCAAAGCUGUAGAAGUCGUGGCAGGGGUCCACAGAACGGUCCAGGGCUCCAAUCACAGCACUGGCCACAAUAAUGCAUGGUUCUGUCCGACACACACCUGGGUGAGCUGCCAACGGAGUGGGACAAGCAGCUAAACAUACUGUAUCAAAUAUAUUUGACAGACACUGCUACUUUAGCCUCAACAGUUAGACAUCACUAUCGCUUUGAUUAAACAACUAGUAAACUCAGCAAAAAAAGAAACGUCCCUUUUUCAGGACCCGUUCUUUCAAAGAUCAUUUGUAAAAAUCCACCAAUCUUAAUUGUAAACGGUUUAAACACUGUUUCCCAUGCUUGUUCAAUGAACCAUAAACAAUUAAUGAACAUGCAGCUGUGGAACGGUCAUUAAGACACCAAUGGCUUAUAAAAAGUAGGCAAUUAAGGUCACAGUUAUGAAAACUUAGGACACUAAAGGAGGCCUUUCUACUGACUCUGAAAAACACAAAAAGAAAGAUGCCCAGGGUCCCUGCUCAUCUGCGUGAACGUGCCUUAGGCAUGCUGCAAGGAGGCAUGACGACUGCAGAUGUGGCCAGGGCAAUACAUUGCAAUUUCCGUACUGUGAGACGCCUAAGACAGAGCUACAGGGAGACGGGAUGGACAGCUGAUCGUCCUCAUAGUGGCAGACCACGUGUAACAACACCUGCACAGGAUAGGUACAUCACACCUGCAGGACAGGUACAGGAUGGCAACAACAAUUGCCCGAGUUACACCAGGAACGCACAAUCUCUCCAUCAGUGCUCAGACUGUCCCCAAUAGGCUGAGAGAGGCUGGACUGAGGGCUUAAAGGUCUGUUGUAACGCAGGUUCACACCAGACAUCACCAGCAACAACUCGCCUAUGGGCACAAACCCACCGUCGCUGGACCAGAAAGUACUGGCAAAAAGUGCUCUAAAUUGACGAGUUGCGGUUUUGUCUUACCAGGGGGGAUGGUUGGAUUUGCUUUUAUCGUCGAAGGAAUGAGCGAUACACCGAGGCCUGUACUCUGGAGUGGGAUUGAUUUGGAGGACAGGAAUGCAAGACAGGAAUGUCAGUGUUGUGCCAUGGCCAGUGAAGAGCCAGGAUCUCAAUCCCAUUUAGCACGUCUGGGACCUGUUGGAUUGGAGGGUGAGGGCUAGGGCCAUUCCCCCCAGAAAUGUCUGGGAACUUGCAUGUGCCUUGAGUUUGGUAACAUCUCACAGCAAGAACUAGCAAAUCUGGUGCAGUCCAUGAGGAGGAGAUGCACUGCAGUACUUAAUGCAGCUGGUGGCCACACCAGAUACUGACUGUUACUUUUGAUUUUGACCCCCUUCCUUUGUUCAGGGACACAUUAUUCAAUUUCUGUUUGUCACAUGUCUGUGGAAUCUUGUCACAUGUCAGUUGUUGAAUCUUGUUUAUUUUCAUACAAAUAUUUACACAUGUUAAGUUUGCUGAAAAUAAAUGCAGUUGACGGUGA